GGACCCUUAGCUCAGCAGGUUAGAGCAGCUGACUCAUAAUCAGCGGGUCGCUGGUUCGAGCCCAGCAGGGUCCA
This 74-nucleotide transfer RNA is filed under the name Dinghuibacter silviterrae. It matches the Rfam family "tRNA". From Rfam's summary of the family: Transfer RNA (tRNA) molecules are approximately 80 nucleotides in length. Their secondary structure includes four short double-helical elements and three loops (D, anti-codon, and T loops). The record is from Rfam by way of RNAcentral. Lineage: Bacteria; Pseudomonadati; Bacteroidota; Chitinophagia; Chitinophagales; Chitinophagaceae. RNAcentral also lists the same sequence under 2 other names.